AGAGUUUGAUCAUGGCUCAGGAUGAACGCUGGCGGCGUGCUUAACACAUGCAAGUCGAACGAUGAUCCCCAGCUUGCUGGGGGGAUUAGUGGCGAACGGGUGAGUAACACGUGAGUAACCUGCCCUUGACUCUGGGAUAAGCCUGGGAAACUGGGUCUAAUACCGGAUAUGACUCCUCAUCGCAUGGUGGGGGGUGGAAAGCUUUUGCGGUUUUGGAUGGACUCGCGGCCUAUCAGCUUGUUGGUGAGGUAAUGGCUCACCAAGGCGACGACGGGUAGCCGGCCUGAGAGGGUGACCGGCCACACUGGGACUGAGACACGGCCCAGACUCCUACGGGAGGCAGCAGUGGGGAAUAUUGCACAAUGGGCGAAAGCCUGAUGCAGCGACGCCGCGUGAGGGAUGACGGCCUUCGGGUUGUAAACCUCUUUCAGUAGGGAAGAAGCGAAAGUGACGGUACCUGCAGAAGAAGCACCGGCUAACUACGUGCCAGCAGCCGCGGUAAUACGUAGGGCGCAAGCGUUAUCCGGAAUUAUUGGGCGUAAAGAGCUCGUAGGCGGUUUGUCGCGUCUGCCGUGAAAGUCCGGGGCUCAACUCCGGAUCUGCGGUGGGUACGGGCAGGCUAGAGUGAUGUAGGGGAGACUGGAAUUCCUGGUGUAGCGGUGAAAUGCGCAGAUAUCAGGAGGAACACCGAUGGCGAAGGCAGGUCUCUGGGCAUUAACUGACGCUGAGGAGCGAAAGCAUGGGGAGCGAACAGGAUUAGAUACCCUGGUAGUCCAUGCCGUAAACGUUGGGCACUAGGUGUGGGGGACAUUCCACGUUUUCCGCGCCGUAGCUAACGCAUUAAGUGCCCCGCCUGGGGAGUACGGCCGCAAGGCUAAAACUCAAAGGAAUUGACGG
Molecule: ribosomal RNA, 897 nt
Filed under: uncultured bacterium
Lineage: Bacteria
Description: bacterial SSU rRNA
Rfam family: Bacterial small subunit ribosomal RNA
Source: RNAcentral